UACGUAGGGGGCAAGCGUUGUCCGGAAUUAUUGGGCGUAAAGAGCGCGUAGGCGGUCCGGUAAGUCAGCUGUGAAAGUCAAGGGCUCAACCCUUGAAAGCCGGCUGAUACUGCCGGACUAGAGUCCGGAAGAGGCGAGUGGAAUUCCCGGUGUAGCGGUGAAAUGCGCAGAUAUCGGGAGGAACAUCAGUGGCGAAAGCGGCUUCCUGGACCAGUACCGACGUUCAGGCACGAAAGCGUGGGGAGCAAACAGG
RNAcentral lists this ribosomal RNA (253 nucleotides) under uncultured bacterium. RNAcentral describes it as "partial 16S ribosomal RNA". It matches the Rfam family "Bacterial small subunit ribosomal RNA", at positions 524 to 776 of the family's 1533-position model. The record is from RNAcentral.